Molecule: ribosomal RNA, 1162 nt
Filed under: Leifsonia xyli
Lineage: Bacteria; Bacillati; Actinomycetota; Actinomycetes; Micrococcales; Microbacteriaceae
Description: bacterial SSU rRNA
Rfam family: Bacterial small subunit ribosomal RNA
Source: RNAcentral
CAAGCUUACGACGGGUAGCCGGCCUGAGAGGGUACCGGCCACACUGGGACUGAGACACGGCCCAGAUUCCUACGGGAGGCAGCAGUGGGGAAUAUUGCACAAUGGGCGCAAGCCUGAUGCAGCAACGCCGCGUGAGGGAUGACGGCCUUCGGGUUGUAAACCUCUUUUAGUAGGGAAGAAGCGAAAGUGACGGUACCUGCAGAAAAAGCACCGGCUAACUACGUGCCAGCAGCCGCGGUAAUACGUAGGGUGCGAGCGUUGUCCGGAAUUAUUGGGCGUAAAGAGCUCGUAGGCGGUCUGUCGCGUCUGCUGUGAAAACCCGAGGCUCAACCUCGGGCCUGCAGUGGGUACGGGCAGACUAGAGUGCGGUAGGGGAGAAUGGAAUUCCUGGUGUAGCGGUGGAAUGCGCAGAUAUCAGGAGGAACACCGAUGGCGAAGGCAGUUCUCUGGGCCGUAACUGACGCUGAGGAGCGAAAGCGUGGGGAGCGAACAGGAUUAGAUACCCUGGUAGUCCACGCCGUAAACGUUGGGCGCUAGAUGUGGGGACCAUUCCACGGUUUCCGUGUCGCAGCUAACGCAUUAAGCGCCCCGCCUGGGGAGUACGGCCGCAAGGCUAAAACUCAAAGGAAUUGACGGGGGCCCGCACAAGCGGCGGAGCAUGCGGAUUAAUUCGAUGCAACGCGAAGAACCUUACCAAGGCUUGACAUAUACGAGAACGGGCCAGAAAUGGUCAACUCUUUGGACACUCGUAAACAGGUGGUGCAUGGUUGUCGUCAGCUCGUGUCGUGAGAUGUUGGGUUAAGUCCCGCAACGAGCGCAACCCUCGUUCUAUGUUGCCAGCGCGUAAUGGCGGGAACUCAUAGGAGACUGCCGGGGUCAACUCGGAGGAAGGUGGGGAUGACGUCAAAUCAUCAUGCCCCUUAUGUCUUGGGCUUCACGCAUGCUACAAUGGCCGGUACAAAGGGCUGCAAUACCGUAAGGUGGAGCGAAUCCCAAAAAGCCGGUCUCAGUUCGGAUUGAGGUCUGCAACUCGACCUCAUGAAGUCGGAGUCGCUAGUAAUCGCAGAUCAGCAACGCUGCGGUGAAUACGUUCCCGGGCCUUGUACACACCGCCCGUCAAGUCAUGAAAGUCGGUAACACCCGAAGCCAGUGGCCCAACCCU